RNAcentral lists this long non-coding RNA (783 nucleotides) under Physcomitrium patens. RNAcentral's name for it is "long non-coding RNA (PPAT_LNC011466)". Lineage: Eukaryota; Viridiplantae; Streptophyta; Bryopsida; Funariales; Funariaceae. The record is from RNAcentral.
ACAUCUAUCACCGAUCUUUCAACAACUUAGAAAUUCUAGCAGGUGCACAAAACCCUAAUUUAAAAGCACCCAAAAACUAUUUUCCCUAUAUCUCAAAAAUCCAAAUUCUAAAUUCCACAAAACUUAUGUAGAAAGAUUUAUAAGAAGACUAUACACAAUUUUUAGAAAUAUUGAGCCAAAACCUCAUCAAAUUAUCUAAGAUAUAACUCAAAUCACAAGUACAAGUAAAUCAGACUACUAACUAUCCUUAGACUCCAAGUGCUGACUUCAACUACCAAUAUCUCCUUCAUCAAAGCUCGGAAUUUGACAAAUAGUAAACAUAAAUUGUAGCCGAAAAAGUGCUCUCUCGAAUUCUAGUUGCCGAUCUUCGUUUGCUAUCGGUAUGCAUGUGCAAUGCUCCAAAGAGUGACAACAGGUCCAAAAACUAACACCUUAACUUUGAGCACCCAUAACUUUUUUAUAAAACCCCCAAUGAUAUAAAACUUAUAUCAAAACCAUAGCCAAAAAUCUAGACCUUCUCAUCCUAGCCUUCAGAACUCAAAUGACCUCGAGAAACUAACCGUAAUCUCUAAUAUAGCCUCAGAAAGCCUCCUCAAAGCCCAUUGGUCAUGAUUUUUGAUCAAUAGAAAUGGAGAUUUUCAUUAUUCAUCUCCAUUCAUUUAUAUUUGUGCCCUAAUUGCUCUUUGCUACCAAAAUCCUUCUUCAAUCGUUUUUCUUAUAAAACUUACAUAAUUUAUACUCUAAACACCAAACAGAAGAACAAAAAGAUGUUUUCAAAGGUCA